This 253-nucleotide ribosomal RNA is filed under the name uncultured bacterium. RNAcentral describes it as "partial 16S ribosomal RNA". It matches the Rfam family "Bacterial small subunit ribosomal RNA", at positions 524 to 776 of the family's 1533-position model. RNAcentral also lists the same sequence under 1 other name. The record is from RNAcentral.
UACAGAGGGUGCAAGCGUUGUUCGGAAUUAUUGGGCGUAAAGGGCGCGUAGGCGGUUCGGCAAGUCUUCAGUGAAAUCUCUGGGCUCAACUCAGAGUCUGCUGGGGAAACUGCCGGGCUUGAGUGUGGGAGAGGAGAGUGGAAUUCCUGGUGUAGCGGUGAAAUGCGUAGAUAUCAGGAGGAACACCUGAGGCGAAAGCGGCUCUCUGGACCACAACUGACGCUGAGGCGCGAAAGCUAGGGGAGCAAACAGG